UACGGAAGGCAGCAGUGGGGAAUAUUGCACAAUGGGCGCAAGCCUGAUGCAGCCAUGCCGCGUGUAUGAAGAAGGCCUUCGGGUUGUAAAGUACUUUCAGUCGUGAGGAAGGUGUUAAGGUUAAUAACCUUAGCAAUUGACGUUAGCGACAGAAGAAGCACCGGCUAACUCCGUGCCAGCAGCCGCGGUAAUACGGAGGGUGCGAGCGUUAAUCGGAAUUACUGGGCGUAAAGGGCACGCAGGCGGUUAAUUAAGUUGGAUGUGAAAUCCCCGGGCUUAACCUGGGAAUGGCAUUCAAGACUGGUUAGCUAGAGUCUUGUAGAGGGGGUAGAAUUCCAUGUGUAGCGGUGAAAUGCGUAGAGAUGUGGAGGAAUACCGGUGGCGAAGGCGGCCCCCGGACAAAGACUGACGCUCAUGUGCGAAACGUGGGGAGCAAACAGGGAUUAGAUACC
This 452-nucleotide ribosomal RNA is filed under the name uncultured bacterium. RNAcentral's name for it is "bacterial SSU rRNA". It matches the Rfam family "Bacterial small subunit ribosomal RNA", at positions 340 to 786 of the family's 1533-position model. The record is from RNAcentral.